GAUGAUGAGGAUGAUGAGGAUGUUUGUGAUCCAUUCCAUCCAUCUGCUUCCGCUGCCGACGCCAGGAUCCCGCUCACGUCACAAUCAGCUGUGACUCCAGACGUCACGAAGUUUUCCAGAGCGGCUGUCAGCGCGUGGAAACGUCUCCCACAGGCCGACACGUCACGCUGAGGAUCACCGCUUCACUGCGACAAGGCAGGACUCGAGCAAGGCACCGUGGACCACCAACACUGACACCCACUCUCUUGGCAGUCUCAGCUGUCCACCAAUCAAGGGUGUUUACCGCCGCCUGCCUCAUGAUGUCAUUCCCACUCCUGGUGCCAAACUAAUAACCACCAUAGACCCUGUCACUUUUCAAAGCUUAGAAAAUAAUCAGGUUGCUGGAGGAAUGCAGGGAGGCGUGGAGGAUCUGCCCAUAAAGUCUGCGGAGAACGAAGGAUUGACAGCGAGCAGGCAGACGGAGAUAAAAAUAAAACAAAGGAGCAGUGUCACUAAACUUUUUUUUUUUUUCUCAUUACUUUAGUAUCUCAUCUUUCAAAGGAGAGGUUGCUGAUGAUAUAUCUACUGGGACAUAUUCUUUUUUUGUUUCUGCUUGAACAGAUAAGCCUUCCUUAAAUAUGACAUGUUAAUCAAAUUCCAACAGUACAAAAGUAAAGUACGGCAUAAAGAUGAGGUUUAUUUUGUUGCUUGAGUUCAUAGAGAGUCUCUGAAACAGACAUCUGGUAGAAAUCUCUUGUAUUCAGCAUCAUAUGUUUUUUAAAACUUACUCAUAUUACUUUUCAUGUUGCAUCUGAUUCUCCUGCAUAUACUGUAUAUUUACAACUAGAGAUGUUCCAAUACUAUUUUCCCCUCCUGAUUCGUUUCUCUGUGUAUUGGCGGAUACUGAGUACUGAUCCAAAACCAGUGAAUAACAACUUAUAUAACAUAAGCUGUAUGCCUCGACCCUUGUAUACCCCAUACAGAAAUUAAUUGUGUAGAACUUAUUUUAUUAUAUAGUUUGUCAUUUAGUUAAUGUUCCUUAAACUACAUGCAUAUGGAGCAUUUCGCUGUUUUCCUUUUGGGACUUUCUUGUGGGAAAUUGCUGACAUUUUAGUUAGCUCUCAGUUUUUGGCCAUAUCAGUAUCUCUAUUGAUGCUGGUAUCAAAACAUCUCUAUUUACAACACACCCUUCUG
Paralichthys olivaceus (Japanese flounder) is the source of this 1173-nucleotide long non-coding RNA. RefSeq lists it as uncharacterized. The record is from RefSeq and is a predicted model, not a curated record. NCBI's taxonomy places the organism in Eukaryota, Metazoa, Chordata, Actinopteri, Pleuronectiformes, Paralichthyidae.